AGUUGAUCAUGGCUCAGGAUGAACGCUAGCGAUAGGCUUAACACAUGCAAGUCGAGGGGCAGCACGGUGUAGCAAUACACUGGUGGCGACCGGCGUACGGGUGCGUAACACGUAUGCAACCUACCCGCUAUGGGGGAUAACCCGGCGAAAGUCGGACUAAUACCCCAUAUUAUUCUUACCGGGCAUCCGGUAGGUCUGAAAGAUUUAUCGAUUGCGGAUGGGCAUGCGGAUGAUUAGCUAGUAGGUGGGGUAACGGCUCACCUAGGCGACGAUCAUUAGGGGUUCUGAGAGGAAGUCCCCCCACACUGGAACUGAGACACGGUCCAGACUCCUACGGGAGGCAGCAGUGAGGAAUAUUGGUCAAUGGGCGCUAGCCUGAACCAGCCAAGUCGCGUGAAGGAUGAACCAGAUCUAUGGUUUGUAAACUUCUUUUGCAGGGGAGUAAAGUGCGACACGUGUGUUGUAUUGCAAGUACCCUGCGAAUAAGCAUCGGCUAACUCCGUGCCAGCCGCCGC
RNAcentral lists this ribosomal RNA (515 nucleotides) under uncultured bacterium. RNAcentral describes it as "bacterial SSU rRNA". It matches the Rfam family "Bacterial small subunit ribosomal RNA", at positions 10 to 518 of the family's 1533-position model. The record is from RNAcentral.